UGGCCAGGCCGGGCCCCUCUGGCAGCGCAAUGCGCUGCGAUGUCGGACUGGAGGA
Regulatory RNA element from Caulobacteraceae bacterium, 55 nucleotides. It matches the Rfam family "terC RNA". Lineage: Bacteria; Pseudomonadati; Pseudomonadota; Alphaproteobacteria; Caulobacterales; Caulobacteraceae. The record is from Rfam.